GGUUUAAAACCCAGCCACACAAAAUGUUACAGAACCAGGGUGCACAACAGAUUCUACACUAGCUCUGUUGACUUCAACGGUCUAAAGACCUAACAACACGCCACCAUGCUCAAGUUCCUGUGUCUGCUUGUGUGUUUGGUGACUUGUACACUAGCGUUCCCCUCCCUCAUCCAGAAGUUUUUUGACUGCACAAACGACAUCCGGCAAGACUGCGGGGACCUGAACAUGGACGGCGACUGCGACAGUGUCUUCUACCAGAUCGGUUGUGCUAAGACCUGUCAGGCUUGCUUCAGAUAGAGGCUCUGACCCAGACACAGCACAGCAUUCAAAGUCACAUCAAGGGGCCGUCACUCUCAAUAAUUCUGACAAUACUUUGUGUUGAAGACUCGUACAAUUAUGUUUCUUUGUCAAUACGAGUUGAUUAUUAAUGAACAAUACAUUUGUUUCAUUUGAUAUUUUGAGUUUUAGUCUGCGAAAUGAAAGUAUUCACUAAAUUUAUUAAUCACAAACCUUGCAGUGGCGUAGAUAGGAAUUAGCCAUCAUUUUGGGGGCCCCCCCGGGGGCUUGACCUCUUCGGGGACUGUAUUUUGCGUAAUAUUUAAUGUUAAAAAACACACUAAUUUGGGAGCCCCCCCCCCUCCAAGUGAAAGCCCGAGGGGUGGGGGCCAAAUUAUACCUCUCUCUUUCCCCACCCAAGCUACGCCUCUGCAAAUCUGAUAUGUUGGAGUGAAAACUAAAAUGAAGAAACUGCUUUUAAACGACUCGAAACAUUCAUCUUCACCUAUUCCAUAGUCUGUUGAACCGUUGGGGCACCACACAAGAUCGGUUGACCGUCUUUCUCCAUUCCUCUGCGUAUUCUUUAUUUACAAGCCUUACAAGGGAUAGAAGGUGGUGGGGUGAACUAAAAUAGUUGGGCCGCCUUUGAAUGUGUUAGUCCGUUGGUCAACAAACUCCAAGGCCUGGGAACAAACUUUGUAAUGCCGUAUCGUACUGAAGAAACAUUCAUUAAGAUUGUUCAAAUCAAGCCUUAACUCUUUCUCUCCGUAAUUAUUUACCACGUUCUGGUGGAAUCAACGUUGGUAUCGUCAGUUAGGAGAGAAUGAGUUAACAAAAGAUUUUCGAGGCUCAACGGUAAACUUGACUAUUGUGGGAAAACUUCCCCACCCCCCAGGCGAUACCAGAUCUGUUGAUUGGUGAACUAACUUUGCUGAAUAAUUUACAUCUCCAUCAACCUGGAUUUGAACCAAGGGCCUUUAAACAGAAGGCUAGAGCAUUGUACAGGAAUUUCAAGCAUUUUUGACUAUUAUAAAAUUACAAAGAGGAAAAAAACAAUUUUUUAAUUGAAAGCAAACAAACAUUGAUAGAAAAACACACACACACACACUGACACAAUCACACAUACCUUUGCAAACAACAUACACACUCACAUUGAAACAAACACUCACACACAAGGAAUCAAACACUCAUACACAGUACUACAAACACAGCCACAUGUACAGGCGAAAUAUUAUCUAAGAAUAACAGCAUCUGUAAGUUCCCAAAUCCUAAUCUGGAGCAAUGGAUCUCAAAAUAAGAGGUAGAUACAGACACAAACAACACUGUUUAGUCUGUUGGACCGUAGGGGCACCAUGCAAGAUUCGAUGAUCGUCUUUCUCCAUUCCUCUCUGUCGUUAGCCUUAGAACCUCUUUCAAUGGUAGGGCCUACCUGACACUAUUUGAGACAAAAUAAAAAUCCACUACCGCGGACAGACGCAGACGGCGAAAAGAAAAUCUUAAUUCGACCACCAGCGGACAAUUAUUAUGCUUGCCCUGGAUGUGGCAAAAUAUGUAGGUCAAAACUGGGGCUGCGUAGCCACGGAAAAUACUGCAUUCUUCAUAAAUCUUCUGACUCGAAGACAAGCCUUAUUAUUGUAUGACACAGUUUAUCGUUAAAAAAUACCCACUACUGGCCAAUACAAACACACUGUUCAUUGUAACAUGCUGUCCAUUGUAACAUACUGUCUAUUGUAACAUACUGUCAAUUGUUUUAUGCUUUAUUUUUAAAAAUUCGGGGACCAAAACUGAAAGUUUUGAUUUAGUUGAGAUAAACAGUUGGCUGUGAAUAGCAUUAUAAAACAUUUUUUCCAAGUUUAAAGUUGAAAGAUGAUUUAAAAAAAUGUAAUGGUAUUAGGGUCAUAUCUGGUAGUCAUAGGAGACAUAUAUGAAAUUACAUUAGUGUCAGAAUUUUCUUACAUUCUUUUUUAGUUUCCCCCAUUGCAGCAGCACUUAUGAAAAAGAAUCCGUUGCAUCGGGCUCAAAGUUCAGCCGCAAUCAAUGCCAUUGAAACUGAGAGAAACCAGACAGGCAGAAGUUUGAUUAUAAAGUGAAAGUACCGGUACCUGGCACCAUGCUGAGGCUUAUCUGUUUACUUGUGUGUUUGGCAGCCUGCACUUUAGCUUUCCCCACAUUGUUGGGCAAAUUCAUAGACUGUAGUGUAGAUAUCCGCACAGACUGCGACAAGCUCAACAUGGAUGGCGAUUGCUCGGCAGUUUUCUACCAGAUCAGUUGCGCCAAAACAUGCAACGCCUGCUUUAAAUAAAAAGAAACAGGCCGUCACGUGACUACAUCAUCGCAACGCUGGACAGUGGUCAUUUCAGGACAACUCAAGGUCUUGAAUCACUUCAAAUUAAAACCUUUGAUCUCAAAUAAUUUUUUAUAUUUGCAUAUGUGUAGAAAUUUUUUUUUGUUCAGUCAUGAAAGAAAACUUUGAGUCACUGUAUAAUAAAAAAAAAAUUAUCACAGAUGUAAAGUUGGUGAAUAUAUGAACGCAUGAAUGUACAAUAAACAAUUCAAAACAUAAUUAAAACGCAUUCGUCGAACAGUU
Molecule: long non-coding RNA, 2863 nt
Organism: Biomphalaria glabrata
Lineage: Eukaryota; Metazoa; Mollusca; Gastropoda; Planorbidae
Exons: 3
Source: RefSeq, a predicted model, not a curated record